Molecule: ribosomal RNA, 433 nt
Filed under: uncultured bacterium
Lineage: Bacteria
Description: partial 16S ribosomal RNA
Rfam family: Bacterial small subunit ribosomal RNA
Source: RNAcentral
AACGAACGCUGGCGGCAUGCCUAACACAUGCAAGUCGAACGAGACCUUCGGGUCUAGUGGCGCACGGGUGCGUAACGCGUGGGAACCUGCCCUUAGGUUCGGAAUAACUCCCCGAAAGGGGUGCUCAUACCGGAUAAUGUCUUCGGACCAAAGAUUUAUCGCCGUUGGAUGGGCCCGCGUUGGAUUAGCCAGUUGGUAGGGUAAAAGCCUAUCAAGGCGACGAUCCAUAGCUGGUCUGAGAGGAUGAUCAGCCACACUGGGACUGAGACACGGUCCAGACUCCUAGGGGAGGCAGCAGUGGGGAAUAUAGGACAAUGGGCGAAGGCCUGAUCCAGCAAUGCCGCGUGAGUGAUGAAGGCCUUAGGGUUGUAAAGCUCUUUUACCCGGGAUGAUAAUGACAGUACCGGGAGAAUAAGCACCGGCUAACUCCGUG